CAAAUCCUGGUGAUGGCCUGCCUUGUUUGAUGUCUCGCUGUCCCUGUCCAAGGUGAAGAAGAGCGCUGCAGGCUAGUGACAUCGGACAGAAGUUUUAUUAGGUCAGAGGUCAUCAUCCGAUGUCUCAUUGACCGUCCGGGAAAAGAUGCAAGUGCCUUGAUGAAGGACUUUGAGAGUUGAGGAGCUCCGCAAGUGGCUGCGGGGGAAGCCUGUGCCAACCUGCGGG
Micropterus dolomieu (smallmouth bass) is the source of this 226-nucleotide long non-coding RNA. RefSeq lists it as uncharacterized. The transcript is spliced from 3 exons. NCBI's taxonomy places the organism in Eukaryota, Metazoa, Chordata, Actinopteri, Centrarchiformes, Centrarchidae. The record is from RefSeq and is a predicted model, not a curated record.